This is a long non-coding RNA of Molossus molossus (Pallas's mastiff bat), 489 nucleotides long. RefSeq lists it as uncharacterized. The transcript has 3 exons. NCBI's taxonomy places the organism in Eukaryota, Metazoa, Chordata, Mammalia, Chiroptera, Molossidae. The record is from RefSeq and is a predicted model, not a curated record.
GGAGACCCUAAGAUACUGCGAGGAUGGGGAUGUUCCAAUCUAGCCCCGGCUGCCAACUCAAAUGAAGUUACUAUUGUCAUCAGAGAAACAUACAUGAUCACUAAAAUAGUUCAGAAAGAGCAAACUUAAACUAAAAAAUGAAAAAGGAAAUCACCGUAUGCUUUCACUUCAAGACCAUAAAAAGCAGCUCUCAGUGUGGUUCCUGGUCGUCGAGGAAAAGGCAGAGUCCAUAUGCAAUGAGAACAAGGUUCCUACGUGAACUAAUUCAGCACGGGCAGAAACUCAGCCAGCGCUGGGCUGGAGAAGGAAACCAGCAGCCCCCAAGGAAAGCACAGAAGACUGGGAGCUCCACACCCCAGACUCGGAGAAAGGAGUCCCAGGGAAGACUGAGUACAGAAAACCCAGUGUGAUGUACCCUGCGGGAAAGCGUGGAGCACACUACACCUUCACGUGGAAGUGGGUCCACCUCCGGAGUGGGAGGGAAGAGAA